GGGAACUAGUAAAGUAUUAGAUAAAUGUAGAGAAGGUAAUAGAGAUAUAGAGUCAGCUCCUGUGACCGGGGAGAUAGCCCCAUUAGCAUUCGCGACACUGGUGCAUCUAGUAAGGGUUGACUGAAUAAAGUCAUUAGCAUCAUAUGUCAUAUCAUCGGUGGCCCCGGAGUUAAAUAACCAUCCAUCAUUACUCUUGUCACUAGGAUGCAUAACAAAUACUGAACUAAGGUUACCUAGACUUGGGGUAGUGUCCUCAUCUUUAGAGGAGUCAAUUUGGGGAAUUAAGGAUAGUUGUGGCUCUGCUGCUUUGCCGGUUCGUUUAUUGGCGCUGUCUCCUUCCUUAUUCCUUUUUUCUUGCAGUUUGUAUCACCACUCAGGAUAUCCAUUGAGUUUAAAGCAAUUUUCACGUGUGUUUCAAAUUUCCACGAUAAGAGCACUUUUCAUUCCCACCCAUUCCCUUGGAUUUGUUAAAAUCAUUUUGUUUUCUAGAGCCCAGUGAAGACCGUCCAGUCUUCAUCUCCUUCGUAGCUAAGACUGCUCUAGGGGAAUUGUCGGACUCUGUGGUCAUUACGGCUUGUCGAAGGGCCUCCCGUCGAACAUGUGCAUAAGCUUGUUCAAGUGAGGGAAAAGGAUUCAUCUGCAAAACACUUGCCCUGAUGUUGUCCAACCUGUCAUGAAGGCCAUCCAGGAACGUAUAAACCCGCUCCUCCUGUACCAGCUUGUUAUAGUUCUGGAUGUCCUUGGAGCACACCAUUGAAUUGGGACGGCGAAAGUCGAUUUCACGCCAUAAACCUUGUAAAGCCGUGUAGUAUUUUUCAAUGGAGCCAUCUGCAUGUCUCAACCGCGCCACUCUCCGUCGGAGUUCAUAUACUUGGGAAGUGUCAUUCCCGUCAAAGAAUGUGGUAGUAAUUGCAUCCCAGACCUCUUUCGCAGUGGAGAACUGAAUAAAGUUGCCAAUGAGAGAGGGGUCUAAUGAAUUGAUGAUCCAACCUUUGACAAUGGCAUUAUCCGUGCGCCACUUGCUAAAGCUUGUAUCGAUCGGUGGUGGAGGAGGGAUAUCACCAUUCAAGUAACCAAGAUUAUCUCUUCCUGCUAUAUUCAUCUCCAUAACUUGAGACCAUAGGGCAUAAUUGGAGCCAUCCAAUUUGAUGCCGAUUUGGGGUGAGGGGUCGGAUGUUUGGGUUGGUGCUGAUGAUUUGUUCAAGACUUCAACCAUCUUUGUUGUGAACUCUAGAAGAAGGGUGUUUGUUUCAGUUGGCAGGGGAUUAUUGGUUUCGGGUGGUAGGAGGUUGGGCAUCUCACCAUCAACGGUGCCUUCCAUGUGUUUGAGUAAUUGCUCAAGAGAGCUCGGCUAACACAAGACAGGGGCUACUGCAUCGAGCACCAUGCUCUGAUACCAUGAAGAAAUGUAUUCUUUUAUUUCCAGUAAUUAUUUACAAUAGACGGUGUAGUUUAAAUUGGAGAAGUUUAAAACCUAGAUGGUGUAGUUUAAAUAGGAGAAGUUUAAAACCUAUUUUUGGACUAUACAAUUCUUGAAGAUUUUAUUUCCUUGACAGAAAAAAUUACUACCUAAGAUGGAUGAUUUUCUUGCCAUAUGAUUCUAUUUCCUUAUAUAGCAGCU
RNAcentral lists this long non-coding RNA (1621 nucleotides) under Olea europaea subsp. europaea. The record is from RNAcentral. Lineage: Eukaryota; Viridiplantae; Streptophyta; Magnoliopsida; Lamiales; Oleaceae.